UACGGGGGGAGCAAGCGUUGUUCGGAUUUACUGGGCGUAAAGGGCGCGUAGGCGGCCAGUGCAAGUCAGUUGUGAAAUCUCCGAGCUUAACUCGGAAAGGUCAACUGAUACUGCUCGGCUAGAGUGCAGAAGGGGCAAUCGGAAUUCUUGGUGUAGCGGUGAAAUGCGUAGAUAUCAAGAGGAACACCUGAGGUGAAGACGGGUUGCUGGGCUGACACUGACGCUGAGGCGCGAAAGCCAGGGGAGCAAACGGG
This 254-nucleotide ribosomal RNA is filed under the name uncultured bacterium. RNAcentral's name for it is "partial 16S ribosomal RNA". It matches the Rfam family "Bacterial small subunit ribosomal RNA", at positions 524 to 776 of the family's 1533-position model. The record is from RNAcentral.